CCUACGGGUGGCAGCAGUGGGGAAUAUUGCACAAUGGGGGAAACCCUGAUGCAGCGACGCCGCGUGAGUGAAGAAGUAUCUCGGUACGGAAAGCUCUAUCAGCAGGGAAGAUAAUGACGGUACCUGACCAAGAAGCCCGGCUAACUAUGUGCCAGCAGCCGCGGUAAUACGUAGGGGGCACGCGUUAGCCGGAUUGACGGGGUGUAUAGGGAGCGUUGACGGGAGCACAAGGCUGGAGUGAAAUCCCGGGGCUUAACCCCGGAAGUGCUUUGGAAAAUGUGCGGCUGGAGGGCAGGAGGGGUAAGCGGAAUUCCUGGGGUAGCGGUGAAAUGCGUAGAUAUUAGGAGGAACUCCGGUGGCGAAGGCGGCUUACUGGACUGUAACUGACGUUGAGGCUCGAAAGCGUGGGGAGCAAACAGGAUUAGAUACCCCUGUAGUC
RNAcentral lists this ribosomal RNA (439 nucleotides) under uncultured bacterium. RNAcentral describes it as "partial 16S ribosomal RNA". It matches the Rfam family "Bacterial small subunit ribosomal RNA", at positions 338 to 795 of the family's 1533-position model. The record is from RNAcentral.